GAUUAUGGCUCAGGAUGAACGCUAGCGGCAGGCUUAACACAUGCAAGUCGAGGGGCAUCGGGAGUAGCAAUACUUGCCGGCGACCGGCGCAAGGGUGCGUAACGCGUGAGCAACAUGCCCGUAUCAGGGGGAUAAUCCAUGGAAACGUGGUCUAAUACCCCAUAGUAAUUAUGUAAGGCAUCUUAUAUAAUUUAAAGCUUUGGUGGAUACGGAUUGGCUCGCGUGACAUUAGCUAGAUGGUAAGGUAACGGCUUACCAUGGCUACGAUGUCUAGGGGUUCUGAGAGGAAGGUCCCCCACACUGGAACUGAGACACGGUCCAGACUCCUACGGGAGGCAGCAGUGAGGAAUAUUGGACAAUGGAUGGAAAUCUGAUCCAGCCAUGCCGCGUGCCAGGAAGACGGCCCUAUGGGUUGUAAACUGCUUUUGUAUGGGAGCAAUAAGGGCUACGCGUAGUCCGAUGAGAGUACCAUACGAAUAAGCACCGGCUAACUCCGUGCCAGCCGCCGC
Molecule: ribosomal RNA, 509 nt
Filed under: uncultured bacterium
Lineage: Bacteria
Description: bacterial SSU rRNA
Rfam family: Bacterial small subunit ribosomal RNA
Source: RNAcentral